CCUACGGGAGGCAGCAGUGAGGAAUAUUGGUCAAUGGGCGGGAGCCUGAACCAGCCAAGCCGCGUGAAGGACGACGGUCCUAAGCAUUGUAAACUUCUUUUGUCAGGGAACAAAAUCAGGCUCGGGAGCCCGGAUGAGUGUACUUGAAGAAAAAGCAUCGGCUAACUCCGUGCCAGCAGCCGCGGUAAUACGGAGGAUGCGAGCGUUAUCCGGAUUUAUUGGGUUUAAAGGGUGCGUAGGCGGACUGUUAAGUCAGCGGUAAAAAGGCGGGGCUCAACCCCGUCGAGCCGUUGAAACUGGCAGUCUUGAGAGGGCGAGAGGUAUGCGGAAUGCGCGGUGUAGCGGUGAAAUGCAUAGAUAU
This 361-nucleotide ribosomal RNA is filed under the name uncultured bacterium. Its description in RNAcentral is "partial 16S ribosomal RNA". It matches the Rfam family "Bacterial small subunit ribosomal RNA", at positions 338 to 697 of the family's 1533-position model. The record is from RNAcentral.